This is a non-coding RNA of Roridomyces roridus, 92 nucleotides long. The record is from the annotation of a GenBank genome assembly. Lineage: Eukaryota; Fungi; Basidiomycota; Agaricomycetes; Agaricales; Mycenaceae.
UCUUGACUAGUAUAUCGGUUCAGUACACCCGCUUGUCAUCAAUAUCCACCAUGGUUUCGCGGGAGAGCAGGGUUCGACUCCCUGGUCGAGAG